This 72-nucleotide transfer RNA is filed under the name Camelus bactrianus (Bactrian camel). It matches the Rfam family "tRNA". From Rfam's summary of the family: Transfer RNA (tRNA) molecules are approximately 80 nucleotides in length. Their secondary structure includes four short double-helical elements and three loops (D, anti-codon, and T loops). Lineage: Eukaryota; Metazoa; Chordata; Mammalia; Artiodactyla; Camelidae. The record is from Rfam by way of RNAcentral. RNAcentral also lists the same sequence under 2 other names.
GAAGGUAUAGCUCACUGGUAGAGCAUAUGCUUAGCAUGCUUAAGGUCCUGGGUUCAAUCCCCAGUAACUCUA